UACGUAGGUGGCAAGCGUUGUCCGGAUUUACUGGGCGUAAAGAGCGCGCAGGCGGUCGGAUAAGUCGAAUGUGAAAGCCCCCGGCUCAACUGGGGAGGGUCAUUCGAUACUGUUCGACUCGAAGGCAGGAGAGGGAAGUGGAAUUCCCGGUGUAGUGGUGAAAUGCGUAGAUAUCGGGAGGAACACCAGUGGCGAAGGCGACUUCCUGGCCUGUUCUUGACGCUGAGGCGCGAAGGCUAGGGGAGCAAACGGG
RNAcentral lists this ribosomal RNA (253 nucleotides) under uncultured bacterium. RNAcentral's name for it is "partial 16S ribosomal RNA". It matches the Rfam family "Bacterial small subunit ribosomal RNA", at positions 524 to 776 of the family's 1533-position model. The record is from RNAcentral.